AAGCGAAACGCCCGUCAGGGCGUAUGCCGGGCGUGGUUGUCCGGUACUGAUGAGCAGCCAACA
Molecule: non-coding RNA, 63 nt
Filed under: Marinobacterium iners
Lineage: Bacteria; Pseudomonadati; Pseudomonadota; Gammaproteobacteria; Oceanospirillales; Oceanospirillaceae
Source: RNAcentral